RNAcentral lists this non-coding RNA (73 nucleotides) under Cimex lectularius (bed bug). RNAcentral's name for it is "tRNA". It matches the Rfam family "tRNA". Rfam says of the family: Transfer RNA (tRNA) molecules are approximately 80 nucleotides in length. Lineage: Eukaryota; Metazoa; Arthropoda; Insecta; Hemiptera; Cimicidae. The record is from Rfam by way of RNAcentral.
AUCACGAUAGCUCAAGUGGUAGAGCAUCGGCUUAUUUAGCCGAAGGUCGUGGGUUCGAAUCCCGCUCGUGACA